GACGAACGCUGGCGGCGUGCCUAAUACAUGCAAGUCGAGCGGACGAAUCGAAAGCUUGCUUUUGAUUCGUUAGCGGCGGACGGGUGAGUAACACGUGGGCAACCUGCCCUGUAGACGGGGAUAACACCGAGAAAUCGGUGCUAAUACCGGAUAACACGAAAUGUCGCAUGACGUUUCGUUGAAAGACGGCGCAAGCUGCCGCUACAGGAUGGGCCCGCGGCGCAUUAGCUAGUUGGUGAGGUAACGGCUCACCAAGGCGACGAUACGUAGCCGACCUGAGAGGGUGAUCGGCCACACUGGGACUGAGACACGGCCCAGACUCCUACGGGAGGCAGCAGUAGGGAAUCUUCCGCAAUGGACGAAAGUCUGACGGAGCAACGCCGCGUGAGCGAAGAAGGCCUUCGGGUCGUAAAGCUCCGUUGUUAGGGAAGAACAAGUAACGCAGUAACUGGCGUUACCGUGACGGUACCUAACGAGAAAGCCACGGCUAACUACGUG
RNAcentral lists this ribosomal RNA (498 nucleotides) under uncultured bacterium. RNAcentral's name for it is "partial 16S ribosomal RNA". It matches the Rfam family "Bacterial small subunit ribosomal RNA", at positions 28 to 507 of the family's 1533-position model. The record is from RNAcentral.